Molecule: unclassified non-coding RNA, 2429 nt
Filed under: uncultured fungus
Lineage: Eukaryota; Fungi
Description: sequence contains 18S rRNA gene, ITS1, 5.8S rRNA gene, ITS2, 28S rRNA gene
Source: RNAcentral
GCAAUGGAAGGUCAGACUUGGCGGCUGGAAGUUUAAUCCACACGGCCGAGCCCCCGACUAUACCUCCCGCCAAGGCGCUCGCCACGAUCAGCAUCACUCUCCAAGGAACGCGCUUGCGCUGGAAAGGCGACACAGCGUGAUCAGUUUCGGCAAUCGCCUCCGGAUUCAAACUCCUCCUUCAGAUCUUGAAGGAUAACCUUGAGGUCUGCCAUAGUCUGAAAACGCCGUUCGGGGUCUUUCCGCAGACAGCGAGUGAUGAUCUUCUCCAAAUCGUGCGGAAGAGUUUGCGAGAUUUCACUGGCAGGUUUCGGCUCCUUGUUCAGGACUGCCGCCAGGGUGGACAUCUUCGAGUCGCCCUGAAACGCCUGCUGUCCAGUGACCAUCUCGUACAGCACCGAACCGAAACUGAAAAUGUCGGAGCGCGCGUCCACAGGCUUUCCUGGAGCUUGCUCCGGGGACAUAUACGAGGCGGUGCCCAAGAUUGUGCUUCAUCUGUCCAAGGUGGGAUUGACCGUGUCGACUCAUCUUCCCCGAGCUGCGGCCUUUCGGUCAGCUUCGCCAGACCGAAGUCGAGAACUUUCACCAAGCCGCCUUCGCCAACCAUGAUGUUUCCCGGCUUGAGGUCGCGAUGAAUGAUCCCAGCAGCCUGCGCUUUCGCCAGCGCAUCUGCGAUCUGGAUGGCAUACUUCAGAACCUCGUUCAACUUCAUCCCACUGCGUGGAAUCAGCUCGCCAAGCGUCUUGCCUUGGACGUAUUCCAUGACAAUGAAAUCGAUGCCGUUGUCGGUGGCGAUGUCGUGUAUGGUGAUGAUGUUGGGAUGAUUGAGGGCCGAGGCUGCUUUGGCUUCCUGUACAAACCGCCUUUUGCGAACUGGAUCUGACACGAGUUCCGCGGGAAGCACCUUGGUGGCAACGAAGCGGUCCAGAUGUUGGUCGCGUGCCUUGUAGACAAUUCCCAUCCCUCCUUCACCGAGACGAGAAAGGAUUUGGUAGUGACUCAAACGCUGUCCCAACAACUCUGCAGAGAAUCCGACGAUUUCUGCAUGGCAACUGGGGUGCAGGUGAACUCAGUUGAUUUCCUGCUCGCUCGUGAGCUGCAAGCAGCGACUCCACUUCGCGGCGCAAUUCUUCAUCGCCGGCACAGGUGUCGUCUAGAAACGCCCGCCUCCGGCUGGGCUCGCGCUCCAAGGCCUUCUUUAAGAGUUUGUCAAUUUGCUGCCAGCGUUCAGGAGUCAUUGAAACAGUGAUGGGUGAAUUGUUGCGAUUGAUUCUACUUUCGUGGUGUCAACUUCGCCACGAAAAACAAGACCGGGAGGAAGAAUCGGCAGAAUUUCGAGCCUUUAAAAAAGGCAUUGCCCGUCAGGCACCAUCAGCUGAAGGCCCUACUCCGAGGUCCAGGGAGAACGCCGUCCGCAAUCUCUCGAGGGUCUGCUCAAUCCUAACGAACUGUGAACUUGCUAUUUUCGCAAGCCACGAAACAUGGGCUCUUCUAUCGCAGUGGUAGCUAACGAGGUUCAGAGACAACCAAACGAGAUCGGCUAGCUGUCUUCGCCGCUCUGGACUCAGGAUGUCAAAGACCGACGUGCCAUCUUCUGAUACUGUUCGGAUUUUCUCUUCCCAAUCCCGGAUGUAGUCCUUGUAGUCGUCGUCUGUGAAGAUGGUCAACAGAGCCAAGAGAACGGGCGGCGCGUCGCCUUGAAAUAGUGCUAGAGGCCCCCCAGGCCAUAGGGAAUCGAUUGUUGGUUCCCGCUGCAAUCGCUCGGCCAUCGCUUCGGUCUCAGGGACAGGCUUUGGUAGGGUUUGAGGAGGUGGUGUCCUGGCUUUAAUCUUUGGGGGCGCCAUCGGAAGCGAGCAGAAAAGAACUUGGUGUCAGUUCUGGUGUCAGUUCGGAUUGUUACGGGAGUAUUCAUUCUGCAGUGGUGUGCAACAGUCAAACAAAAAGGACUCGUUCGAAACCGUUGUCCAACAGGCUUCUUGCGAGUCCAUGCUUUCCUGUGGCAUCCUAUGCGGGGAGGCGGGUAGGGCGACUCAUAAUCCUUAGGUCGGGAGUUCGAAUCACCCCCCCCCCGCUACCAGCUUGCACUUUCGCUCACGUCAUUACUUCCUGCCUUCGCAACGCCAGUCUUGUUUCAGUUGAUUCCUCGCUAACGAACCGAUGAGGCAGUGAGGCAUGUCUUUGCACACGCAUGGUCGGUGGAUUUGGGCUGCGGUUUUGUGGACCGCGGUUCAGCUCCCUUUCGCUUCCGGUCCUUUCCGGAUUGACGAUCCCUAUCACAUGGAAGCUGCCAAGCAGAUGCGGCGAGCGCCGGGCGAUCCCUACGGGUUUCAGAUCAAUUGGGACGGUACGCCGAAGUCUGCGUUCGUGACGUACGCCAGCCCGCCGUUGGUCCCAGCGUGGUUGGCAUUUUGGAGCUGCUUUUUCCCGCAAAA